AGCGAACGCUGGCGGCAGGCCUAACACAUGCAAGUCGAACGAACCUUUCGGGGUUAGUGGCGGACGGGUGAGUAACACGUGGGAACGUGCCUUUAGGUUCGGUAUCACUCAGGGAAACUUGUGCUAAUACCGAAUGUGCCCUUCGGGGGAAAGAUUUAUUGCCUUUUGAGCGGCCCGCGUCUGUUUAGCUAGUUGGUUGAGGUAAUGGCUCAGCAAGGCGACGAUCAGUAGCUGGGCUGAGAGGAUGAUCAGCCACAUUGGGACUGAGACACGGACCAAAAUCCGACGGGAGGCAGCAGUGGGGAAUCUUGCGCAAGGAGCGAAAGCCUGACGCAGCCAUGCCGGGGGAAUGAUGAAGGUGUUAGGAUUGUAAAAUUCUUUCAGCGGGGACGAUAAUGACGGUACCCGGAGAAGAAGCCCCGGCUAACUUCGUG
Molecule: ribosomal RNA, 434 nt
Filed under: uncultured bacterium
Lineage: Bacteria
Description: partial 16S ribosomal RNA
Rfam family: Bacterial small subunit ribosomal RNA
Source: RNAcentral